This is a ribosomal RNA of 4104 nucleotides. It matches the Rfam family "Bacterial large subunit ribosomal RNA".
AGGUCAAGCUACAAAGGGCGCAUGGUGAAUGCCUUGGCAUCAGGAGCCGAUGAAGGACGCGAUAAGCUGCGAUAAGCUUCGGGUAGACGCACAUAGUCAGAGAUCCGAAGAUUUCCGAAUGAGGAAACUCACAUGGGAAACCCCAUGUAUCAUAAAGUGAAUACAUAGCUUUAUGAAGGUAAACCCAGGGAACUGAAACAUCUAAGUACCUGGAGGAAGAGAAAGAAAAAUCGAUUUUCUUAGUAGCGGCGAGCGAAAAGGAAAGAGCCCAAACCAGAGAUUUAUCUCUGGGGUUGCGGACAGAACAUAACGUGAAAUUAUAGUUAAUUGAACACAACUGGAAAGUUGGACCGUAGGAGGUAAUAGUCCUGUAAAUGAAAACUAUAAUGAGCAGUUCUGCACCAGAGUACCACGAGACACGUGAAACCUUGUGGGAAGCAGGGAGGACCACCUCCCAAGGCUAAAUACUACCUGAUGACCGAUAGUGAAGCAGUACCGUGAGGGAAAGGUGAAAAGAACCCCGGGAGGGGAGUGAAAUAGAACCUGAAACCANAUUGAACACAACUGGAAAGUUGGACCACAGUGGGUAAUAGUCCCGUAAGUGAAAACUAUGAUAAUCAGUUCUGCACCAGAGUACCACGAGACACGUGAAACCUUGUGGGAAGCAGGGAGGACCACCUCCCAAGGCUAAAUACUACCUGAUGACCGAUAGUGAAGCAGUACCGUGAGGGAAAGGUGAAAAGAACCCCGGGAGGGGAGUGAAAUAGAACCUGAAACCAUGUGCCUACAACCGAUCAAAGCACCUUAUGUGUGUGAUGAUGUGCUUUUUGUAGAACGAGCCAACGAGUUACGGUAUGUAGCGAGGUUAAGUACUUAAGGUACGGAGCCGAAGGGAAACCGAGUCUUAAUAGGGCGACUAGUUGCAUGCUGUAGACCCGAAACCGGGUGACCUAUCCAUGGCCAGGUUGAAGCGAGGGUAAAACCUCGUGGAGGACCGAACCACGUUGCUGUUNAAAUACUACCUGAUGACCGAUAGUGAAGCAGUACCGUGAGGGAAAGGUGAAAAGAACCCCGGGAGGGGAGUGAAAUAGAACCUGAAACCAUGUGCCUACAACCGAUCAGAGCACCUUAUGUGUGUGAUGAUGUGCUUUUUGUAGAACGAGCCAACGAGUUAUGGUAUGUAGCGAGGUUAAGUACUUAAGGUACGGAGCCGAAGGGAAACCGAGUCUUAAUAGGGCGACUAGUUGCAUGCUGUAGACCCGAAACCGGGUGACCUAUCCAUGGCCAGGUUGAAGCGAGGGUAAAACCUCGUGGAGGACCGAACCACGUUGCUGUUGAAAAAGCAUGGGAUGAGCUGUGGAUAGCGGAGAAAUUCCAAUCGAACUCGGAUAUAGCUGGUUCUCCUCGAAAUAGCUUUAGGGCUAGCGUCGGAAAAUGUGAGUAGUGGAGGUAGAGCACUGAAUAGGCUAGGGGGCAUAGCGCUUACCGAACCUUAUCAAACUCCGAAUGCCACAUACUAUCAGUCCGGCAGUCAGACUAUGAAAGAUAAGUUCCAUGGUCAAAAGGGAAACAGCCCAGAUCGUCAGCUAAGGUCCCAAAGUGUAAGUUAAGUGGAAAAGGAUGUGGGAUUUCUAAGACAACUAGGAUGUUGGCUUAGAAGCAGCCACUCAUUAAAAGAGUGCGUAAUAGCUCACUAGUCAAGAGAUCCUGCGCCGAAAAUGUCCGGGGCUCAAACUUACCACCGAAGCUACGGGUUCACGCAUUAGCGUGAGCGGUAGAGGAGCGUCGUAAUCGGGCUGAAGUCGUACCGUAAGGAGCGGUGGACUGAUUACGAGUGAGAAUGUUGGCAUUAGUAGCGAGAUGUAGGCGAGAAUCCUACAGGCCGAAUAUCUAAGGUUUCCUGAGUAAAGUUUGUCUUCUCAGGGUUAGUCGGGACCUAAGGCGAGGCCGAAAGGCGUAGUCGAUGGACAAUUGGUUGAUAUUCCAAUACCACUAUAAUCGUUAUUAUCGAUGGUGUGACGGAGAAGGAUAGGAUGUGCUAGCUAUUGGANUAAGUUAAGUGGAAAAGGAUGUGGGAUUUCUAAGACAACUAGGAUGUUGGCUUAGAAGCAGCCACUCAUUAAAAGAGUGCGUAAUAGCUCACUAGUCAAGAGAUCCUGCGCCGAAAAUGUCCGGGGCUCAAACUUACCACCGAAGCUACGGGUUCACGUUUUACGUGAGCGGUAGAGGAGCGUCGUAAUCGGGCUGAAGUCGUACCGUAAGGAGCGGUGGACUGAUUACGAGUGAGAAUGUUGGCAUUAGUAGCGAGAUGUAGGCGAGAAUCCUACAGGCCGAAUAUCUAAGGUUUCCUGAGUAAAGUUUGUCUUCUCAGGGUUAGUCGGGACCUAAGGCGAGGCCGAAAGGCGUAGUCGAUGGACAAUUGGUUGAUAUUCCAAUACCACUACAAUCGUUAUUAUCGAUGGUGUGACGGAGAAGGAUAGGAUGUGCUAGCUAUUGGAUGCUAGUCUAAGCGUUUAGGGAGUUGGGAUUGGCAAAUCCGUUCCAACAAUUCUGAGGCGUGAUGGGGAAGGUUCUACGGAGCCGAAGUAUCUGAUUCCAUGCUUCCAAGAAAAGCAUCUAGAGAGAGAAGUAGUGCCCGUACCGCAAACCGACACAGGUAGAUGAGGAGAGAAUCCUAAGGCCGACGGAAGAAUUGCAGUUAAGGAACUAGGCAAAUUGACCCCGUAACUUCGGGAGAAGGGGUGCCUGAGAAAUCAGGCCGCAGAGAAUAGGCACAAGCAACUGUUUAACAAAAACACAGGUCUCUGCUAAAGCGAAAGCUGAUGUAUAGGGGCUGACGCCUGCCCGGUGCUGGAAGGUUAAGGGGAACACUUAGUGGUAACGCGAAGGUGUGAACUUAAGCCCCAGUAAACGGCGGCCGUAACUAUAACGGUCCUAAGGUAGCGAAAUUCCUUGUCAGGUAAGUUCUGACCCGCACGAAUGGCGUAAUGACUUGUGCACUGUCUCAACUGCAAAUCCGGCGAAGUUGUAGUGCGAGUGAAGAUGCUCGCUACCCGCGAUUGGACGGAAAGACCCCGUAGAGCUUUACUGUAGCUUAGCAUUGAAUUUCGGUAUUGUCUGUACAGGAUAGGUGGGAGACUUGGAAACUAGGGCGUCAGCCUUGGUGGAGUCGUUGUUGGGAUACCACCCUGAUAGUAUUGAAGUUCUAACUGGAUGCCAUGAAACUGGUGACAGGACAUUGUUAGGUGGGCAGUUUGACUGGGGCGGUCGCCUCCUAAAAUGUAACGGAGGCGCCCAAAGGUUCCCUCAGAACGGUCGGAAAUCGUUCGAAGAGUGUAAAGGCAGAAGGGAGCCUGACUGCGACACCUACAAGUGGAGCAGGGACGAAAGUCGGGCUUAGUGAUCCGGUGGUACCUCGUGGGAGGGCCAUCGCUCAACGGAUAAAAGCUACCUCGGGGAUAACAGGCUGAUCUCCCCCAAGAGUUCACAUCGACGGGGAGGUUUGGCACCUCGAUGUCGGCUCGUCGCAUCCUGGGGCUGAAGUAGGUCCCAAGGGUUGGGCUGUUCGCCCAUUAAAGCGGCACGCGAGCUGGGUUCAGAACGUCGUGAGACAGUUCGGUCCCUAUCCGUCGCGGGCGUAGGAAAUUUGAGAGGAGCUGUCCUUAGUACGAGAGGACCGGGAUGGACUGACCUAUGNGGCACCUCGAUGUCGGCUCGUCGCAUCCUGGGGCUGAAGUAGGUCCCAAGGGUUGGGCUGUUCGCCCAUUAAAGCGGCACGCGAGCUGGGUUCAGAACGUCGUGAGACAGUUCGGUCCCUAUCCGUCGCGGGCGUAGGAAAUUUGAGAGGAGCUGUCCUUAGUACGAGAGGACCGGGAUGGACUGACCUAUGGUGUACCAGUUGUUUCGCCAGAAGCAUAGCUGGGUAGCUAAGUCGGGAAGGGAUAAACGCUGAAAGCAUCUAAGUGUGAAGCCCACCUCAAGAUGAGAUUUCCCAUAGCAUAAGCUAGUAAGACCCCUUGAAGACUACAAGGUUGAUAGGUCAGAGGUGUAAGUAUGGUAACGUAUUUAGCUGACUGAUACUAAUAGGUCGAGGGCUUGACCAAU